Molecule: unclassified non-coding RNA, 254 nt
Filed under: uncultured fungus
Lineage: Eukaryota; Fungi
Description: sequence contains 5.8S rRNA gene
Rfam family: 5.8S ribosomal RNA (bases 1-53)
Source: RNAcentral
GAACGCACAUUGCGCCCUCCGGUAUUCCGGGGGGCAUGCCUGUCCGAGCGUCAUUACAACCCUCAAGCCCGGCUUGCGUGUUGGGCGUCGGCCCCCCGGGGCCCGCCCGAAAUACAGGGACCUCCCGUUGAAGGGCUCCCAGCGUAUGGGCUAACACCCGCUGAGAGAGACCCCAGACACGGAGGUCGAACCCCCGCAGUUUAACUGUAGCUCGGUGGACCUCGGAUCAGGUAGGGAUACCCGCUGAACUUAAG